This 282-nucleotide ribosomal RNA is filed under the name uncultured bacterium. RNAcentral's name for it is "partial 16S ribosomal RNA". It matches the Rfam family "Bacterial small subunit ribosomal RNA", at positions 103 to 386 of the family's 1533-position model. The record is from RNAcentral.
CGGGUGAGUAACAGGUGAGUAGCCUGCCCUUGAAUCUGGGAUAAUUGCUAAAAAUGGUAGAUAAUACGGGAUACGACCCUCAGUGGCAUCGCCAGGGGGUGGAAAGAAUUUCGGUCAAGGAUGGACUCGCGGCAUAUCAACUAGUUGGUGAGGUAACGGCUCUCCAAGGAGACGACGGGUAGCCGGCCUGAGAGGGUGACCGGCCACACUGGGACUGAGACACGGCCCAGACUCUUACGGGAGGCAGCAGUGGGGAAUAUUGCACAAUGGGGGCAAGCGUGA